AGUUGGUGUGGUAAAGGCGCACCAAGGCGACGAUCCUUAGCUGGUCUGAGAGGAUGAUCAGCCACACUGGGACUGAGACACGGCCCAGACUCCUACGGGAGGCAGCAGUGGGGAAUAUUGGACAAUGGGCGAAAGCCUGAUCCAGCAAUGCCGCGUGAGUGAUGAAGGCCUUAGGGUUGUAAA
This 183-nucleotide ribosomal RNA is filed under the name Sphingomonas melonis. RNAcentral describes it as "partial 16S ribosomal RNA". It matches the Rfam family "Bacterial small subunit ribosomal RNA", at positions 247 to 429 of the family's 1533-position model. Lineage: Bacteria; Pseudomonadati; Pseudomonadota; Alphaproteobacteria; Sphingomonadales; Sphingomonadaceae. The record is from RNAcentral.